Molecule: ribosomal RNA, 253 nt
Filed under: uncultured bacterium
Lineage: Bacteria
Description: partial 16S ribosomal RNA
Rfam family: Bacterial small subunit ribosomal RNA
Source: RNAcentral
UACGGGGGGGGUAAGCGUUGUUCGGAAUUACUGGGCGUAAAGGGCUCGUAGGCGGCCAACUAAGUCGGACGUGAAAUCCCUCAGCUUAACUGGGGAACUGCGUCCGAUACUGGAUGGCUUGGAUUUGGGAGAGGGAUGCGGAAUUCCAGGUGUAGCGGUGAAAUGCGUAGAUAUCUGGAGGAACACCGGUGGCGAAGGCGGCAUCCUGGACCAACAUUGACGCUGAGGAACGAAAGCUAGGGGAGCAAACGGG